GGUUCAUUCAAAUUUCUGCCCUAUCAACUUUCGAUUGUAGAGUAGUGGUCUACAAUGGUUUCAACGGGUAACGGGGAAUUAGGGUUCUAUUCCGGAGAGGGAGCCUGAGAAACGGCUACCACAUCCAAGGAAGGCAGCAGGCGCGCAAAUUACCCAAUCCCGACCGGGGAGGUAGUGACAAUAAAUACUGAUACAGGGCUCUUUUGGGUCUUGUAAUUGGAAUGAGUACAAUUUAAAUCCCUUAACGAGGAACAAUUGGAGGGCAAGUCUGGUGCCAGCAGCCGCGGUAAUUCCAGCUCCAAUAGCGUAUAUUAAAGUUGUUGCAGUUAAAAAGCUCGUAGUUG
RNAcentral lists this ribosomal RNA (344 nucleotides) under uncultured fungus. RNAcentral's name for it is "SSU rRNA". It matches the Rfam family "Eukaryotic small subunit ribosomal RNA", at positions 292 to 636 of the family's 1831-position model. The record is from RNAcentral. Lineage: Eukaryota; Fungi.